This 460-nucleotide ribosomal RNA is filed under the name uncultured bacterium. RNAcentral's name for it is "partial 16S ribosomal RNA". It matches the Rfam family "Bacterial small subunit ribosomal RNA", at positions 338 to 795 of the family's 1533-position model. The record is from RNAcentral.
CCUACGGGAGGCAGCAGUGAGGAAUAUUGGUCAAUGGACGAGAGUCUGAACCAGCCAAGUAGCGUGAAGGAUGACUGCCCUAUGGGUUGUAAACUUCUUUUAUAUGGGAAUAAAAUGUUCCACGUGUGGGUUUUUGUAUGUACCAUAUGAAUAAGGAUAGGCUAACUACGUGCCAGCAGCCGCGGUAAUAAGGAGGAUCCGAGCGUUAUCCGGAUUUAUUGGGUUUAAAGGGAGCGUAGGUGGAUUGUUAAGUCAGUUGUGAAAGUUUGCGGCUCAACCGUAAAAUUGCAGUUGAAACUGGCAGUCUUGAGUACAGUAGAGGUGGGCGGAAUUCGUGGUGUAGCGGUGAAAUGCUUAGAUAUCACGAAGAACUCCGAUUGCGAAGGCAGCUCACUGGACUGCAACUGACACUGAGGCUCGAAAGUGUGGGUAUCAAACAGGAUUAGAUACCCGAGUAGUC